GUUUUACACAGCGUGAGUGCGAGUUGUUGGCGAAUGCACUUCGCACGAAUUUCAAUCUUGAUGUUCGUGUGUGCAGGUGCAUGAUGCGUGGGAAGUUAUAUUUCAGAUUGUAUGUCACAUCAAAAAGCAUGGAUACAUUCAUGCGAUUGAUUGAUCCGUACAUUCUCCCAUGCUUUCACUAUAAAUUAGUGAAAUUUCGCUAAUACAAAUAAUACCAGCCAGCAGCAGCGGUAAUACAGAGACCACAAGCGUUACCCGGAUUUAUUGGGCUUAAAGCGUCCGCAGGUGGUUUGAUGCAUCUUCUGUUAAAUUCCGAGGCUUAACUUCGGAGCCGCAGAAGAGAUGAUUAAACUGGAGGUUGGGAGAGGCAAGUGGAAUUACCGGUGUAGGGGUAAAAUCCGUUCAUAUCGGUAAGAACACCAAAGGCGAAGGCAGCUUGCUAGAACAAACCUGACACUCAUGGACGAAAGCGUGGGGAGCAAAAAGGAUUAGAUACCCUUGUAGUCCACGCCCUAAACGAUGGAUGCUAGAUAUUGGGAGUAUCGACCCUCUCAGUGUCGUCUUCAUAAGGGAAACCGUUAAGCAUCCCGCCUGGGAAGUACGGUCGCAAGACUAAAACUCAAAGGAAUAGACGGGGACCCGCACAAGCGGUGGAUCAUGUGGUUUAAUUCGACAACAAGCGAGGAACCUUACCAGGACUUGACAUUGCUCUGCAAGCGCACGGAAACGUGUGACCUUCGAGGGUGAGCAACAGGUGCUGCAUGGUUGUCGUCAGCUCGUGCCGUGAACACUAUCGCGGCCUCCCGCAGUAAUGUGGGAUAGGAAUCUGGCUCAUAUCGGUGGAGUUCCAUUCCGCAAGAAUGGAAUAAUACCGAGGGAAGUCGGGUAUCAAAGUGCCAAGUAUGGCAUAUAAGAUACUUUGACCCCGUAACGACUGCGUCCGCAAGGACAAGAUAGAAGGUACCUGAUAAUCAGGAACAAUAAACUUCUAUCACACGCCAGCUCCCGACAUAAAGUCGGGAUGGAGGUAUAGUCUACAUUUGCAAAAUGCAAAUUCGGAGGCGUUCCCUUAAGUGGGGUAACGAGCGCAACCCUUAUUGUCUGUUACUGUGUCAGACGAAACUGCUCCGGUAUACGGAGAGGAAGGAGAGGAUGACGUCAAAUCAGCAUGGCCCUUACGUCCUGGGCUACACACGUGAUACAAUGGCCGGUACAAUGGGGCGCCAAAUCGCAAGAUGGAGCCAAUCCCAUCAAAACCGGUCUCAGUUCGGAUCGGGGGCUGCAACUCGCCCCCGUGAAGCUGGAAUCGCUAGUAAACGCGUAUCAGCCACGGCGCGUUGAAUACGUUCUCGGGUCUUGUACUCAAAAGUAAAGGCGCCUUGCAGCCUUUGAAGCCAAAUUGUUAAAAUCAAUU
RNAcentral lists this ribosomal RNA (1414 nucleotides) under bacterium. RNAcentral describes it as "bacterial SSU rRNA". It matches the Rfam family "Bacterial small subunit ribosomal RNA", at positions 381 to 1533 of the family's 1533-position model. The record is from RNAcentral.